This 274-nucleotide ribosomal RNA is filed under the name uncultured bacterium. RNAcentral describes it as "partial 16S ribosomal RNA". It matches the Rfam family "Bacterial small subunit ribosomal RNA", at positions 523 to 796 of the family's 1533-position model. The record is from RNAcentral.
AUACGGAGGGUGCAAGCGUUGUUCGGAUUCACUGGGUAUAAAGGGUGCGCAGGCGGCCCGAUAAGUCAGAGGUGAAAUAUGACGGCUUAACCGUCAAACUGCCUCUGAAACUGUCAGGCUUGAGUCCGGGAGAGGUAGGUGGAAUUCCAGGUGUAGCGGUGAAAUGCGUAAAUAUCUGGAGGAACACCGGUGGCGAAGGCGGCCUACUGGCCCGGAACUGACGCUCAGGCACGAAAGCAUGGGGAGCGAACCGGAUUAGAAACCCCAGUAGUCC